AAAAUAGCAAGAGUGAAAUACAAAUUCAUUUCGAGUAGGAAAUUUCUUAUUUCUGUUAGAUGCAACAGCUGAAUGCUAUCUUGUAGACUAUAUUUACCAUUUAUGAUCUUUACCAGAUUCUGCAUUAUUGGACCUUGCGCCUGGCCUUCAUCCCCUCAGAUUCAACAAUCUUCCAGCUCACAGCUUCAAUUUAGAUGCCUG
This 201-nucleotide unclassified non-coding RNA is filed under the name Hevea brasiliensis (rubber tree). Lineage: Eukaryota; Viridiplantae; Streptophyta; Magnoliopsida; Malpighiales; Euphorbiaceae. The record is from RNAcentral.